RNAcentral lists this long non-coding RNA (250 nucleotides) under Gossypium raimondii (Peruvian cotton). Its description in RNAcentral is "long non-coding RNA (GRAI_LNC002822)". Lineage: Eukaryota; Viridiplantae; Streptophyta; Magnoliopsida; Malvales; Malvaceae. The record is from RNAcentral.
GGUAGGCUUGAAAGAAAAGGAGAAAUGGGUUUUAGGUGUGGCGUGAAAAUAUUAAUAAAAUUUUAAAUGGGAUCUUGCUGAAUAGGAAAUCAACCAACAUACAUUUUUACAAAGCUCUCUUUUCCUUUUUUUUAACUUCGUAUAUUUUUUUACAAUAUAAUCGAAAUAAGCAAGCUUAUUUCAAUACUAGACCUUGAAUUUACGAUUUUUUUUAAAUUUAUUUUUACAAACCUACUCCGGAGUUGUUCCG